CUACGUGCCAGCAGCCGCGGUAAUACGUAGGGCGCGAGCGUUGUCCGGAAUUAUUGGGCGUAAAGAGCUCGUAGGCGGCUGGUCGCGUCUGUCGUGAAAUCCUCUGGCUUAACUGGGGGCUUGCGGUGGGUACGGGCCGGCUUGAGUGCGGUAGGGGAGGCUGGAACUCCUGGUGUAGCGGUGGAAUGCGCAGAUAUCAGGAAGAACACCGGUGGCGAAGGCGGGUCUCUGGGCCGUUACUGACGCUGAGGAGCGAAAGCGUGGGGAGCGAACAGGAUUAGAUACCCUGGUAGUCCACGCCGUAAACGGUGGGUACUAGGUGUGGGGGACAUUCCACGUUCUCCGUGCCGUAGCUAACGCAUUAAGUACCCCGCCUGGGGAGUACGGCCGCAAGGCUAAAACUCAAAGGAAUUGACGGGGCCCCGCACAAGCGGCGGAGCAUGCGGAUUAAUUCGAUGCAACGCGAAGAACCUUACCUGGGUUU
RNAcentral lists this ribosomal RNA (484 nucleotides) under uncultured bacterium. RNAcentral's name for it is "bacterial SSU rRNA". It matches the Rfam family "Bacterial small subunit ribosomal RNA", at positions 501 to 982 of the family's 1533-position model. The record is from RNAcentral.